CUCCAUUACAUGGUUCUCUGUGCCAUGAACCGUUUUUAUGAAGAGGCACACAACCGAUUAAAAAGAUUUCUGCAAUACGCUACUUCAAACUUCCCUCUCCAUUAUAUGAUUCUCUACACCAUUUACUGUUUCCAUGAAGAGGCACACAACCGAUUAAAAAGGUUUGUGCAUCACUAUUAAAUAUCUACUGUCCACAACUAUCAAAAAGAUUUCUGCAAUAUGCUACACUUCAAACUUCCUUCUCCAUUAUAUGAUUCUCUGCUCCAUUAACUAUUUUUAUGAAGCAGCACAAAUCUGUUUAAGAAGGUUUGUGCAUCAAAACUCAAUAUCUACUGUCCACUACUCCCAGAAGAUUUCUGCAAUACACUACACUUCAAACUUCCUUCUCCAUUAUAUGAUUCUCCGCUCCAUGAAUUGUUUUUGAAGCAGCACAAAACCAAAAGAAAGGUUUGUGCAUCAAAACCCAAUAUCUACUGUCCACUACUAUCAAAAGAUUUCUGCAAUACGCUACAUGUGAAACUUCCUCCUUAUGCUUUAUUUGAUUCUCCACUCCAUGAACUGUUUUUAUGAAGCAGCACAAAACCAAUAAAAAGGUUUGUGCAUCAAAACUCAAUCUCUACUGUCCACUACUCGCAAAAGAUUUCUGCAAAACGCUACACUUCAAACUUCCUUCUCCAUUAUAUGAUUCUCCACUCCAUGAACUUUCUAUGAAGCAGCACAAAACCGAUUAAAAAGGUUUGUGCAUCAAAACUCAAUAUCUACUGUCCACUACUCCCAAAAGGUUUCUGCAAUGCGCUACACUUCAAACUUCCUUCUCCAUUAUGAUUCUCCAGUCCAUGAACUGUUUUUAUGAAGCACACAACCGAUAAAAAUAAAAGUGAAUACAAAACCAUUGUUCAAAUAUCUUCAGAAAAUGUCCCAGCAAAACUCUAAACUGAUGCAGGCAUUCAAUAGUCAAAGUUAUUAAACAAAUGAAUAACCGCAAAAGUAACACAAUUAUAUAUUAAAUAUUGGAUGGAUGGCUUGUAUUAUAUUAAAGGCUAUGUACAGCAAAUUUAGAUGCCAGCCAAAGGAGGAUGGCUUGCCCCUGCUGAGUCUGGUUCCUCCCAAGGUUUCUCCCUAUACCUCUCUGCUGAUGAUGCUUCUCUUCACUAAUUUAGGGAGUUUUUCCUUGCCACUGUUGCCUUCUGGCUUGCUCACUGGGGUAUUAAGGCACAAUAUUUUCAAUGUAUACUGUGUAAAGUGUUUGUAAAGAAUAAUAAAUACAUGAUGAUUUAGAAUAUA
Long non-coding RNA from Cyprinus carpio carpio, 1284 nucleotides. NCBI's taxonomy places the organism in Eukaryota, Metazoa, Chordata, Actinopteri, Cypriniformes, Cyprinidae. The record is from Ensembl.